GGAAAUAAAAGUCGUAACAAGGUUUCCGUAGGUGAACCUGCGGAAGGAUCAUUAAUGUGUUUGGGCCUCACGGCUCUUCAUUCCGACGCUGUGCGCCUUCGGGCUGCACGCUGAGGGAGCAUAUAUCCACCCCUGUGCACACACACGGUGGCGAGCUGGGUAACGGCUCGCCGCUGAUCUUUACACACGUCUAAAAGUCAUUGUAUGUUUAUUUGAGAUAAAAACACAACUUUCAGCAACGGAUCUCUUGGCUCUC
This 256-nucleotide unclassified non-coding RNA is filed under the name plant metagenome. RNAcentral's name for it is "partial contains small subunit ribosomal RNA, internal transcribed spacer 1, and 5.8S ribosomal RNA". The stretch from base 1 to 54 matches the Rfam family "Eukaryotic small subunit ribosomal RNA", at positions 1778 to 1831 of the family's 1831-position model. The record is from RNAcentral.